UACGGAGGUGGCUAGCGUUGUUCGGAAUCACAGGGCGUAAAGCGCACGCAGGCGGAUCGAUAAGUCGGGGGUGAAAGCCCGGGGCUCAACCUCGGAAUGGCCUUCGAUACUGUCGGUCUCGAGUCCGGGAGAGGUGAGUGGAAGUCCUAGUGUAGGGGUGAAAUUCGUAGAUAUUAGGAAGAACACCAGUGGCGAAGGCGGCUCACUGGUCCGGUACUGACGCUCAGGUGCGAAAGCGUGGGGAGCAAACAGG
This 253-nucleotide ribosomal RNA is filed under the name uncultured bacterium. Its description in RNAcentral is "partial 16S ribosomal RNA". It matches the Rfam family "Bacterial small subunit ribosomal RNA", at positions 524 to 776 of the family's 1533-position model. The record is from RNAcentral.